Molecule: long non-coding RNA, 774 nt
Organism: Pogoniulus pusillus (Red-fronted tinkerbird)
Lineage: Eukaryota; Metazoa; Chordata; Aves; Piciformes; Lybiidae
Exons: 3
Source: RefSeq, a predicted model, not a curated record
GCUCAGAGCUGGCAGGCAGCAGAGAUGGCAGCAGCAUGGCUGGGCUCUUUGCUUUUCUUCAAAGCCAUAGUGCCUCCUCCUGUCCUCCAGCACUUGUUUUGUCUCUGUUCCCAGCUCCUCUCCUCACGCACCAUUCGAGUGGCUCUUGUCUAUUUAUUUCCUCUAAUGGCAUCAGGCUACAAGUGGCUGAACAGUUAAAAUGAACACCAUCGAGCUGGCUGUGGCUUUUUUUCCCCUUGCAUUCACUCUGGAAAUGGGGAUCUUGGCUCUUCUCUCACUGGAUUCCCAAAGGACAAUGCCUGCUCCCUUCCUUCUCAGCCCUUUGACCAAACUUCAGCCAAAUCAACCUGCAGAGAGGCUUUGAAAUGAGGACACCACAUUCCUGUGGGAGUGCCACCUUAGGAACAGCAACUACCACAGGCAGGCUCCUCAGAAGGUAAACUGCCCAACUUCAGCCAAAGAACCAAAAAGGUUCCCUCCUCAUCUCUGAACUGUUUUGCAGUGGCACUGGCAAGCUGAGCACCCCAAGAGCUGAGCUGCAUGGAUCCACCCUGCCCAUAACCAUGCAGACAGGACACUCCAAGCUACUCCCUGCCUCCUCUUCUACCCUACCCCAGUGGUUGCUGAGCGGACUCCAGCUCCAUCCUCCCCUCCAGCUUCCUUCCCUCACAGCUGCUUUCUCCUUCUGCUGCUGCUCCCCUCUGGCUCCCUGCGCUCUGCCUGCGAGCCGCACAUAACUCUCCCGUGAAAUAUACCCAGUGUAAAUAUAUAACA